UGGCCGGAUAACCUUUUGACUAGCUGUUAACAAAAAUUCUACUUGUUAAAAGAAAGGUAAAGGUUUACAUCCAAAUUCGUUUCGUGUAGUUCAACGAGAAAGUGAACAUUGGAAAAACUUCGAGAGGAGAAGAAAGUGACUCGCGCGUGCUCGAUUUUCACGCGACAACAACUGCCAGUACCAUUUCUACUCAUUUUGUCAGGCAUGUCCGUUAUUGUGAUCAUCCUUAGAGUGUGACGUUUCUCAACCGUGCAUUACCAUUAACGAACAAACAAGCCUUGUCCUUCGUACGAUAAGAUCGGAUCGCCCCGCAAGUUUCAUGGACAAACAACCAUCUUGGCAAUCAACGUGACGAGAGUGACGAAUUACAAUUACAGUUACAGUUACAGUUACAGUUACAGUUACAGUUACAGUUACAGUUACAGAUUCGGUUACAGUUACAAUUACAGUUACAGUUAUAAUUAUAUAAUUACAAUUACGAGCCUUCGAUAGUCCAAGAAUAUCGCCAGAAAAAAAGAACGGAUAGAAAGAACUUUCAGAGAUAUUCAAACGCGUGGAACAACCUCGAAUGUCUUGACUGGGAGAGUCAUCAAAAUCGCUUUGAUGCUUUCACAGUCCACUGCGACGUAACAAUAGCGCCACCACGGUGAAACACAUUUCAAAACGAAAAUUUCGAAUAUUUAGACCUCCCUCGGUACAUACGUAUGUACAAAAUAUCCGUGUUCAAACCGAUUGAUUAAUUUUCCAAUCGUUUAACAUUCGACUAUCCAGAAUUGCACGGAAUUUAUCGUCUUUUACUUCAAAGAGCAAGAGGAAGUUGUGAAAAAGAAAAGAAAAAAGACACAGGGAAAAAAAUCGAAGCGAGCAUCCAUUCAAGUUUCACACGUGACCAAUAAAAACAUGGUUUUCUCAAUAACGGUCUUGUCCCAACAACUUUGCUCCCGUACAAAAAAGGCUUUAAUUCUGUUUCUCUACAUUUUUUUUCUUUUUUGUCUUCUUUUUAUACUUUUUUCUUUUUUUUCAUUUUUUUUUUUUUUUUCGUUAACUCCUUUGUAUGUCCUAUAAUUUAAUGCAUACGACAACAUUUUUUUUUUAAAUGAUGGUCCAUUUCGUUUCACAGCGUUUCCAAUAACUUCGAUAAUAGUCUCUGAGUUCUCAACUACUAUAUAAUAAAGCCGACGCUUUUUACACACAUUUUUGCGAUCGAAUAUUUUUCCGUUCGACGCUCGCGCGCUGCAGCAGGCACAACCGUUCCACUAAUAUCGGAGGAGAGGUUAGAAAUUAUUCCACUUGAAUUAAUUCGAUCGAUCCAACUUAGACGAUGGUUGUGAACUCCCUCAAAGAGUAAAUCGAGCAAUGAUAAAAACCACUUUUUAUCUUUCUCUGUUACGAUAAUAUAUUGGCAAACAUCAAUUAUAUAACGUUAUAUAUAAUAUGUAUAUAUAACACUUAACAGAUAAGUAAAUAAUCUUUCAACACGUUUUAGAAUCGAUGUAACAGCUUAACAAGAGGACCAAACCAUCUAAAAUGAUAUUAGACUCCAUAUAUUGAUUUCUCGGUUGUGCCACAAAACAAGAUAGAUACAGACUGAAUUUGCUCGCGUGUAUUCGAGUGUAACUUACACAUACGCUUCUUCAUCGUCAUAUUAAAAAUAUACAUUAAAAUGGUACGCACAAUCGUGUCGUUAACGUACACCAUUUAACAAUUUCCCUACCUUAAGAGAUACCACUACGUAUUCCUUACUUUUUUUUUUUUUUUCACGUGGAUUGUGUCUUACAAUAAAAUAGAUCGGUAAGCAAAUCGUAAUCCUUGCCCCGUUGUAUGAGACCAUGAGUACUGGUGGAUCUAGUUAGAACGAUUAUUCUCAGGCAAUCUGGC
This is a long non-coding RNA of Frieseomelitta varia, 1878 nucleotides long. RefSeq lists it as uncharacterized. The record is from RefSeq and is a predicted model, not a curated record. NCBI's taxonomy places the organism in Eukaryota, Metazoa, Arthropoda, Insecta, Hymenoptera, Apidae. The transcript has 2 exons.